GAACGCNGGCGACGUGGAUAAGGCAUGCAAGUCGAACGGUUGUAGCAAUACAACAGUGGCGAACGGGUUAGUAACACGUAGAUAUCAACCCUUUACUCGGGCAUAACCUGGAGAAAUCUAGGCUAAUUCCCGAUAGUCCGGAAACGGUAAAGAUUUUUCGGUAAAGGAUGAGUCUGCGUCCUAUCAGCUAGUUGGUGAGGUAAUGGCUCACCAAGGCAAUGACGGGUAGGCGGAGUGAGAGCUUGACCGCCAACAAUGGCACUGAGACACGGGCCAUACUCCUACGGGAGGCAGCAGUCGAGAAUAUUUGACAAUGGGCGAAAGCCUGAUCAAGCGACGUCGCGUGUGGGAUUAAGAUCUUCGGAUUGUAAACCACUUUUCUAGGGGAAGAACUUUGACUGUACCCUAGGAAUAAGGGGUGACUAAACUCGUGCCAGCAGUAGCGGUAAUACGAGUGCCCCAAGCGUUAUCCGGAUUUAUUGGGCGUAAAGGGUCUGUAGGUGGUUUGUUAAGUUUCUCGUUAAAGCUCCAGGGCUUAACCUUGGAAAAGCGGGAAAAACUGGCAAACUAGAGGAUGUUAGAGGCUGAUGGAACACUUGGUGAAGGGGUGGAAUCCGUUGAUAUCAAGUGGAACACCGAAAGCGAAAGCAAUCAGCUGGGACAGUCCUGACACUGAAAGACGAAAGCGUGGGGAGAGAAAAGGAUUAGAUACCCUUGUAUUCCACGCCUUAAACGAUGAAUACUAGCUAUUGCAAGUGUCGACCCUUGCAGUGGCGAAGCUAACGCGUUAAGUAUUCCGCCUGGGAAGUACGGCCGCAAGGCUAAACUC
Molecule: ribosomal RNA, 829 nt
Filed under: uncultured Microgenomates group bacterium
Lineage: Bacteria
Description: bacterial SSU rRNA
Rfam family: Bacterial small subunit ribosomal RNA
Source: RNAcentral